ACGGGGCCGCACAAGCGUGGAGCAUGUGGGUUUAAUUCGAAGCAACGCGAAGAACCUUACCAGGUCUUGACAUCCCGAUGCUAUUUCUAGAGAUAGAAAGUUACUUCGGUACAUCGGUGACAGGUGGUGCAUGGUUGUCGUCAGCUCGUGUCGUGAGAUGUUGGGUUAAGUCCCGCAACGAGCGCAACCCCUAUUGUUAGUUGCCAUCAUUCAGUUGGGCACUCUAGCGAGACUGCCGGUAAUAAACCGGAGGAAGGUGGGAUGACGUCAAAUCAUCAUGCCCCUUAUGACCUGGGCUACACACGUGCUACAAUGGUUGGUACAACGAGUUGCGAGUCGGUGACGGUGAGCUAAUCUCUUAAAGCCAAUCUCAGUUCGGAUUGUAGGCUGCAACUCGCCUACAUGAAGUCGGAAUCGCUAGUAAUCGCAGGUCAGCAUACUGCGGUGAAUACGUUCCCGGGCCUU
RNAcentral lists this ribosomal RNA (465 nucleotides) under uncultured Streptococcus sp. RNAcentral's name for it is "bacterial SSU rRNA". It matches the Rfam family "Bacterial small subunit ribosomal RNA", at positions 917 to 1381 of the family's 1533-position model. Lineage: Bacteria; Bacillati; Bacillota; Bacilli; Lactobacillales; Streptococcaceae. The record is from RNAcentral.